This 240-nucleotide unclassified non-coding RNA is filed under the name soil metagenome. RNAcentral's name for it is "partial contains 5.8S ribosomal RNA, internal transcribed spacer 2, and large subunit ribosomal RNA". The record is from RNAcentral.
AACUGAUACUACCUGCGGGAACCUGCGGAAGGAUCAUUAAUGAAAUCAUAUUCUCCUUUGGAGUUUCUUCUAGCUGAUGCGUCUUUUGGCUGCACGCUGUUGUCACUCUUUAGGGGUUAUAUUUCCACAAACCCUUCUGUGCAUAUUGGGAGGCUUUAUUGUCCUCUCCUAAUUCAUAUACUCUAAUGUUUAAUCAUGUCAUACAAUGUUAAAUACAUUAAACAACUUUCAACAACGGAU